GACGAACGCUGGCGGCGUGCCUAAUACAUGCAAGUAGAACGCUGAAGAGAGGAGCUUACUCUUCUUGGAUGAGUUGCGAACGGGUGAGUAACGCGUAGGUAACCUGCCUUGUAGCGGGGGAUAACUAUUGGAAACGAUAGCUAAUACCGCAUAACAAUGGAUGACACAUGUCAUUUAUUUGAAAGGGGCAAUUGCUCCACUACAAGAUGGACCUGCGUUGUAUUAGCUAGUAGGUGAGGUAAUGGCUCACCUAGGCGACGAUACAUAGCCGACCUGAGAGGGGGAUCCGCCACACUGGGACUGUGACACGGCCCAGACUCCUUCGGGAGGCAGCAGUAGGGAAUCUUCGGCAAUGGGGGCAACCCUGACCGAGCAACGCCGCGUGAGUGAAGAAGGUUUUCGGAUCGUAAAGCUCUGUUGUAAGUCAAGAACGGGUGUGAGAGUGGAAAGUUCACACUGUGACGGUAGCUUAACAGAAAGGGACGGCUAACUACGUG
Molecule: ribosomal RNA, 497 nt
Filed under: uncultured bacterium
Lineage: Bacteria
Description: partial 16S ribosomal RNA
Rfam family: Bacterial small subunit ribosomal RNA
Source: RNAcentral